RNAcentral lists this transfer RNA (72 nucleotides) under Actinomycetota bacterium. RNAcentral's name for it is "tRNA-Arg". It matches the Rfam family "tRNA". Rfam says of the family: Transfer RNA (tRNA) molecules are approximately 80 nucleotides in length. Their secondary structure includes four short double-helical elements and three loops (D, anti-codon, and T loops). The record is from RNAcentral. Lineage: Bacteria; Bacillati; Actinomycetota.
GCUCCUGUGGUGAAACGGAAAUCACGCCGGACUACGAAUCCGGUGUUGAAGGUUCGAGUCCUUCCGGGAGCA